RNAcentral lists this ribosomal RNA (253 nucleotides) under uncultured bacterium. Its description in RNAcentral is "partial 16S ribosomal RNA". It matches the Rfam family "Bacterial small subunit ribosomal RNA", at positions 524 to 776 of the family's 1533-position model. The record is from RNAcentral.
UACGUAGGGUGCGAGCGUUGUCCGGAAUUAUUGGGCGUAAAGGGCUCGUAGGCGGUCUGUUGCGUCGGGAGUGAAAACUCAGGGCUUAACCCUGAGCCUGCUUCCGAUACGGGCAGACUAGAGGUAUGCAGGGGAGAACGGAAUUCCUGGUGUAGCGGUGAAAUGCGCAGAUAUCAGGAGGAACACCGGUGGCGAAGGCGGUUCUCUGGGCCUGUACUGACGCUGAGGAGCGAAAGCGUGGGGAGCGAACAGG